GCACGGAACCUUUCCGCUCUAGCCGAUGUGGGACUAAAUUCAAGGCCCCCUCCCCCCCACAACAUUAUCAAUCUUGAAAAAUAUUUGAGGCUCAAAUGUUCUACUAUGGAUAAAGUGCAGUAGUUUAUGAUCCUGCAAUAAAUCAAUUAAAUGAAUAUUAGUUGAUGUUUUGACAAAAAGAAAAAAAAAAGAAAAAGAAAAGGGGUUUCUGCUAUUAACAAGGAAGAAAUCAAAGAAGAGAAACAAGUUCAUCAAAAUGAUAUGCAAAAGAAAGAGAAAUAAGGUAUUAAAUAGUUUUAUUUAUAGACAAGUAGUAUUUUGAUCAAAAUUUAUUAGUGAAUCCAAAGGAUUUUGAUGUUUUGAAUCAGAGUGCACAGCGAAAACAUAGUGGUCUGAAUUAUUUAUCUAAGUUAGUUAGAAGUAUUAUCCCUUUGAUUCGGAAAGUUUUAAUAACAAAGAUUUGAUCCGUUUUCUUAUGUAGUAGGAUUUUCUGGAUAAAUGAAAGGAAAAUGUUUUGAUUUUUUAGAUGUCGCUGUGCUAUCUUAGAUUCUCCAAUUUUAUGUCGUGCUAAGAAAUUCUUAGCAUCUUUUGGCUAGAAUUAAUGGAUCAUCGAUUUUGAUCUUGGAUUUGGAAUAUGUUGGUAUAGACCUCCGUUCUUCUAAAUCUGAAGCUUGAAUUUUUUUCAAAUAAUAUCAACCCUCUAUCUAAUUAAAAGAAAUUGAGGUUGUCAAUCGACUUUAAUGAAUAUCUAUCAAGGGUGGAUUAGAGUCGUUUAUGAUCUAAUCUUGUGAUAGAUCGGUUAAUCAAGAGAAAUUGAUAUUUUGACAAAGUAACUUGAUGUUCUUAUUCAGAAUUAAGACUUUGAUUUUCGAUUAUAAAAGAAAAGUUUGAUUUAAAUCAUCUACCAAAAGAAUCAAAUCUGAAAGUAUCAGACCUUAUUCCUUUGAUAAGAUCUAAUGAUAAAGUUGUAUUGAUAAGUAGAAUUAUUGGAAGCCUUGAGUUAAUUUUCUAGUAGGGAAGAAUGUUGUUGAUUCUUAGGAUAAUCAUGAUAUGACUACGUUACUCUCUGAUAGAUUCUUCUAUUGGGUAUGCUAAGUAAAAUCUUGAGCAUUUCAUGACUAGAGUGAGUUGAUCAUUGAUUAGAUAUGAUCUAAAUUUUUAAGUAUCGAAAUAAACCAUGUGUUAUUUGUUCCAUCGUUAUGAGUUCUAAAUCAAGCCUUGUGACAUAUUCAAUAUGGUAUCAAUAUUUGGUCUUCUUGGAUUUGUUCUUGUGAUUUGAUGCCAAUCAUUUUAAGAUAGACCAUUGCUGUCUAAUGAUCAUCAUUACAUCAUCAUUACAUGUUCAUUUUGUGAAUCCCAUUCCUAACCAUUACUAACCAUCUAAUGAUUUGACUCUGAUUAAGGCCGGUCGAUAUCUUUUGUGGGAUUAGUACUCUACCAUAAUAAGUGCAUGAAAUCUAUUUUAUUCCAAGAUCUAUCUCAAAUACAAUUAAUUUUAUCAAUCUUGUUGUCAAAUGAUCCCAAUCUGAUCUCAUUGCAAUCUUAGAUUUUAGUUAGUCACUUAUUUAGUGCUAAUCUUACUCGUAUGUAUAAAUUUUUGACAGUUGAUCAAGAGUUAAAUAUCUCAUUAAUUUUGAUUGAAGAGAAUAAGAUCUUAGAUUUACGUUACUCAAUGAGCUGAACAUCGCUGAAUUUGGAAAGACUAGAUUCUAUAAAUUUCGAGGACAAAAUUUUUAUUAAGGAGGGGAGAAUGUAAUAAUCGGCCCAAAACGGGCCAAUCAGGCCGAAGCUGGUGGACCCAACCGGUUUUAGCCCAUGGCUGAAGAAGAGACCAAGACAGGGAUCGCAAUGCGAUCCUCUGGUCUUCUUCCUCGGGGUAACGGAGGCGAGACUGGAGCGAAAAUGCCGUGGCCUCUUGAAUGGCCUCCGAUCUCGCUCAACCGCCACGAGCAUCACGACGGUGAACGAACCACGACCAUUUUCUUCCUUCCCCGGGGAGGGCUACAAAAGCCCCCGAUAGCUCACCCGAUCCGAGAAGCCCCUCCUCCCUAUUUUCUCCUUGCCCUCGGACCAGGAUGUUGCCAGAUCUGGGCACUCCGGCGGCCUGAUGUUCGCCACCGUUCUCGCUCAUGCUGGGUUCUACCUCCGGUAUCCUCCACCAGUGCCUCUCCUUGUCGGACUUACCACCCGCGCCCCUACUCUCAUUAGUGAGAUAAUUAAGGCGAUUAGGAGCGGGAAAGAGUAAAUGAAAAUUGGAGUUGAAGCAUAGUUAAUAAGUUUGGGUUGUAAUAUUGUAAACUCAAGUAUUUGAUUUAGAUGCUCUGUACUUGUUUCUUUAUGAUUAGUAAAUAAAUUUGAUCAUAUUUGAUCUUAUUUCAUGAAAUAAAUUGUUAUCAUGGGCUUCAUGUUAUUGUGGGCAGCAACCUACAAUAGCACGGCUGUGUUAUGAACCGGAUCUAGGGUGUAAAAAAAAAUAUAAAAAUAAUGUCCGGAUCCGGGGCGUGACAGUUGUGAUUUCUAAUGAUGGUGAUCUUCCAAGAUUUCUUGGUGAACUCUAAAAGAGGGAUCACCAAGGAAACAUGUAAGAACUAGAUUCUUUCAUACUUUAGGUGGAUUUUCAUAUCAUUUAUCAACUAUACACACUCAAAAAGAAAAUAGUAGUGAUACAUGAUCAUGAUAACUAGGAUGAGUCUAUGCAAUUGAUUGCAAGUCCUCUGCACUCUGAUUGCAAUUUGAGAUCGGUUCUUCCCUUGAAGCUUUGGUUGGUGAGGAAACAGCAUGGCUGAGUUGAUCCUUUGCACGAUUCAAAUCAUCGAUCAUAACGUGCACUUAAAAGCUUAUAAUCAUCGACUAGUGAAACAGUGAUCACCAUUGCUUUCAAUUUGGACACUUCUAAAAAACAUUUUGAUUGACUGCUCAUUGCUGAUUGCCAACUUCGGCAUGCAAAAUUAUAUAUCAUGGAUGUUAAAUGGACUAAAAUUGUGUAUCAUUUGAAUUAAUAGAAUCACUAUUUCGUUUUACUUAGAUAUGCCUCUGCAACAUGACAUAUUCUGAUAUCUAGUCAGAUGGUAUUGUGGACAAAAAUGGAUUCAUCAUCUACCCUUAGGAUAUAUUUGGUUGGGGGAGAGUUAAGCUCUGAAAUGGGAAAGGAAAUGCGUGAUUCUCAUUCAAACUAUUUGGUUCGAAAAAAUCCCAUUCUCAUUCCAAUUUCAAGAGGGAAUUAGAAUGCUCCAAUUCUCCAAAAUCCAUUUCGGACUCUUCUAUAGCAUUCAAAUUUCAUUCCGAUUUCAGUCAUGAACCAUAUACGUCGAAAAAUAUGGCCAUUCCGAUUCCUAUUCGAAUCUAUUCUGAUUUUGACUCGAUUCCAAUUCUGGCUACGAACCAGCAUGAUUAAGUUUAUUAGAGCAGGUAUAAAGUUUGUUUCAUCGAUUAUGAACACUUAGAAUCAGCCUAUUUCAUUUUCAUGCUGUUCGAGUGAUAUGGUAUGGACCCUCUUGUUUUUUGCGUAGACAAUUCCGUAUUUUGUAUUAUAGGCUCUUGAUACCAUGUUUGGUUGUUUUUGUGGCUAUAUUCACAUAUGUUUCUUGGUUAAACAACAUAAAAAGAUUGUUUCUAUUUCUACCAAAUUCCAUAUUUUGUAUUAUAGGCUCUUGAUACUAUGUUUGGUUGCUUUCUAGGACGCACGAUGGCGAACUUAUAUAUAAAUAUGCUUUUUCAUCUUCUAUAAUUGAAAUCUGUUGAGCUAUGUGUGAAAUAAAAAUAUAUUAUAUUUGAAAGUUCUUUUUAUUUAAGCUUUGAAGUAAAACAUGUCAAUAUUCCUUAGAAAUGAGUUUUUAUGGAUAGAGUCAAUACCUUUAUCAUAGUCCGAACCGUUAUCUUCCCACCAUCCUCUCCUCUCCAAUAAGAAUUGAAAUCAUUGAUCUCUGUGUUCCAUUCCUCAAUGAGGUUCAUGAGGGUUCUCUAUUCUGGAUAGGGCUUCCCUAUUGAUGAUCCAUAACACUUCACCAAUGGUCUGCUUCCAUCAAUAGUUGUUUCUAGACCUUGUUGAAUUAUGAAAUACAGUAUGUUCCUUUCAUUUUCAAACCAAACUACAAAAAAAUACACUUUUAGCGACCACUUUCGGCGACUAAAUGAAUAGUGAUCGCUGCAAAUAAGGCUAUUUGCGACCAACAUCCUUGUUAGUUACUGAAUGAUUGUUCUAGACCGACUAAAUGCAUAUUUGGUCGCAGAAAAUCAAAACCAAGUUGGCGGGGUGGAGGUAAAAUGUUUGGUGACUAAAGUUUGGUCGCUGAAAAUAAGGCUAUCUGCGACCAAUAUUCUUGUUAGUUACUGAAUAAUUAUCCUACACCGACUAAAUGCAUAUUUGGUCGCGGAAAAGCAAUACCAAGUUGGCACGAGUCCAAUAUUUUGCGCGGGCUGGAGGUAAAACUUUUGGCGACUAAAUUUUGGUCCUUAAAGGUUCACCUCCAGUGGCUAAAAAAAAUUUAGUCUAGGAAAACUUUUACGAAUAGCGCCUUUUUUCAAUGAAAAAAUUGGGCAGAAAGUUUGAGUUUUUUAGUGACCAAACUUUUGGUAGUAGAAGGUUCCCGCAAAACCGAACGAUGUUGUACUAGCCCCUAUAAGAUGCUAAUUUCUAAGUUAAAAAAAAAAAAACUGAUUAUUUUCAAACGGUGCCGUUUAACACCUUAAUUCACUUAGGCAUAUCCUCGUCUCUUCGGCUGAAUCUCAAUCCCACAACUUUUCUUCAUACUGAAAUUCUUUUUUAUUUUUAUUAUUAUAAUAUAAUUUUAAAAGCUCGAGCUCGGUGCUUGACUCCUUGUCAAAUAAAUAUACGGAUCGACAGGAUACGCGGCAUGCGGACGUGGGAACGGGAAUCCGCUUAGAAAUAUAUAGAAUUCUUGGACAUCCUACGGACAGGAUCUUUUUUUCAUUAGCCCACCCGCAUGACGGAUUGAAAAUCUGCUUAGAAAUAAAUUUGCACGCAUCCUUGUUAGUUACUGAAUGAUUGUCCUACACCAACUAAAUGCAUAUUUAAUCGCGAAAAAUCAAAACCAAGUUGGCGCGAGUCUAGUAUUUCGCGCGGGCUGGAGGUAAAAUUUUUGGCGACUAAAUUUUGGUCCCUAAAGGUUCACCUCCAGCGACUAAAAAAAAUUUAGUCGAGAAAAGUAUGGAUAUGGGGACGCCGUGUGAGAAACCAAACAAACCCUAAUUUUCUAUUCCACUAUUCGACUUUAACUCCUUGCCUUCACCCGUCGCCGUAGUUAGUGCCGGCCCAAGCCUUGCCCAAAGGAAGGCCUCCCGCCUCCGCUGUCCAGCUCCAGCAUCCCGCCUCCACGGCUCCAAUGCUCCAUCGAUCCAUCCAACUGCCCAUCAGCCAUCGUAGGGAUAGGGUAAGUGACUAAGUGGGUAACUAGGGUUCUGGCCUUCUGGGUUCAUAGCUGCAGCUGCCGCCUGCCCCUUCCUGCUACCCUCAGCCAUCAGCCAUGCCUACGAAGUACGAAGCCCUGGUGGGCAACGGGCAACGGACAACAGGGCUAUGGAGGACCCUAUGCCCCUACGAUCCAUCCUCCAUAGCCCGUCUUCUCCAUCCGCCGUCCUCGGCAGUCGGCAUCUCGGCUUGUCGGCCUCGGUCGAAGACUCUUCUUCGGCGAAGAGUCUAAGUUCUAAACUCUUCUUCGGUUCUUCCUUUUUCCCUAAAUUCGUAGCUCGGCUCGGUAACUCAGUUCACCGUUCACGAAUCUCACUUCGCCCUUUCCAUUCGCCACUCGCUCUCGCCUUCCUCGGAGGGAAUCAGGAAGGCGGCGGCGCCGGCGUGACGCGUGAUGGCGUCUCUUGGCUCUCUUCCCCUUCUCGGCAGUCGGCCCAGCCCUCCGUCGUCGCCGGAGCCCGGAGCCGGAGUAGCUCUGGCAUCACUUCUCACCGUCGAGUUUCUAGUUCGGCACUGCUUGUCGGGACUUGAGUUCUUCGUCGAGUCCAGCAUCGCUUCUGUUGACAUUUCGGGUUUUAUCAUUUUCAACUCUCUUAUAUUUUGAUUUAUUGUACUGAUUGUGUUAAUUGUUUAGAUUCAAAUGUCUAAUAGAAAAUUUGAAUGUGGGUAUGAAAAACUCAGAAAGAAAAAAAAAAAAUCGAAAAACUCAUUCAAUCUCAAAAAUGUGCUUUAGAUAGAUUCGUUGUCACAAAUAAACAAAAUACUAUAUCCAAUUCAACUCAGAAUGAAAUAGAGUUUUAAGAUGACAUAAAAAGAACGAAACAAGCAUCUUAAGAACGUCUUACAUGUGGACCCUUAUAGUCAUCCAUACGAACAUGUGACUCAAGAGGAUUGACGCCACUUAAUUGACGAUGUGUGGAAAAGCAAAGAACACAAGGUAACUUACUUAUUUAGUGCUUCAGAGUUUAUAAGUAAAAUAUUUGAUCAUAAUGUUUUCUUUAGAUUUUUAAUUUGUAUUUUUUUGAAGGUGAGAUCAAAAGCUGGCAAAAAGAAUAGGGAAAAGCUUGAGUACAAUCAUUGUUUAAGAUCUCGGUCAUUUGUUGCAACAAUGACUAUACCGCUGGAGUUUAAUGGUUGUGAAAAUCUUGAAUUUCCAGAAUUCUAUAAGAAAACUCAUACCAGAAAGAACAAAGAGUGGAUUGAUCCUAUUUGCGCCGUGAAACAUAGUUCUUAAAGAAAAGAGCGAGAGAUGGAGCAUGAGGAGCUACGGAGGCAAUUGGAGCAGGAGAGGAAAGAGCGUGAGGAGGAAAGAAAAGAGCGAGAGGAAGAGCAGAAGCAAAUUGCACAUCUUACAAGUUUGGUGAUAGAGUUCUUAAAGGAAAAGACUCAAACACACAAGUAAUCUAUCCAUCAUGAUGGGGCUAUGUAUUCAACUGGUGGUACAAAUACUCGUUGAUACAUGGUGGAGUUAUGAGCAUGUGAAAUCUAGUUUUUGGUACAUGGAUAGCUUUUGUUCAGAUGAUCAUGGUGGAGUUGUCUACAAGCAGAAUCCAGUUUUUGGUAUAAGAAUAUUUUUGUCUACAGAUGGUUGUUUGGAUGAAUAGCAAGAUCAGAUAUUUUAGAAUUUUUAAUUUACAUUUUGAUGUGUUUGGUGAUGAUUAUCUUCUUAACAUAUUAUGGAUGAAACAUUGUGAUGUAUGGUUAAUAGGUAUGCUUGACUUUAGACUUAUAGAUAAUGAUAUUUAUAAUAAAUGAUUAUGGAUUCUCCAA
Phoenix dactylifera (date palm) is the source of this 7198-nucleotide non-coding RNA. NCBI's taxonomy places the organism in Eukaryota, Viridiplantae, Streptophyta, Magnoliopsida, Arecales, Arecaceae. The record is from RefSeq and is a predicted model, not a curated record.